CCAAAAGUUAAAAUUAUAUUAACUCAUCAUAUGUACAAAAUAUUUUAGAUAUUAUUUUUUUUAAGUGCUGUUUGAAAAUGGUUGCAUCCUAGUAUUCAUAGAAUGUGAUAGAUGAUGGACAUUCUGUAAAGAAGCAAAAGGCUUUACAGGUUAAGGAUUAAUAUCUUAUUUAACAGACAAGUAACAACUUUCAUUUUUUAACUUUUUUUUUUUACAGUUAAGUGAUUUUAUAUCAUUGUCACCUGUACAAGUCUACUCAUGCUUGCAUAUAUAUAAACCCAUUCACACCUACAUUCUGUCUUAUUUUCAAGUUUUCCUGAAACAGAAUGAGAGAGAAAAACUAAUUUAAUUGUAUAGGGGCAUUUCAUUAUAAAUUGAUUCUGUUUCAGUUUGAUCAAACUCCAUAAAUUUGGGCACACAAUACUGAACUUGUUUACUCUUGAAUUACAAUUUCAUAACAAUUUUUAACUAAACUGAGAAAAUAGCAUCCUCCUCAGACAUAACAUAAGCAUCUAGACUAUCCUGAGAGUAAGAUUGGUGCUCCUGUAACAAAAAAAAACCCAAACUACUGCUAGGGCUAUGAGCAAUAACGGCUGAUGUCAACAC
RNAcentral lists this long non-coding RNA (606 nucleotides) under Mytilus galloprovincialis (Mediterranean mussel). Lineage: Eukaryota; Metazoa; Mollusca; Bivalvia; Mytilida; Mytilidae. The record is from RNAcentral.